Molecule: transfer RNA, 67 nt
Filed under: Plestiodon egregius lividus
Lineage: Eukaryota; Metazoa; Chordata; Lepidosauria; Squamata; Scincidae
Description: tRNA-Arg
Source: RNAcentral
UAGCAGCUAGUUUAAUAAACAACUAAUUUCGGCUUAGUCGUUCUAGGUUUUAAUCCUUGGCUGCUCA